This 433-nucleotide ribosomal RNA is filed under the name uncultured bacterium. RNAcentral describes it as "partial 16S ribosomal RNA". It matches the Rfam family "Bacterial small subunit ribosomal RNA", at positions 29 to 507 of the family's 1533-position model. The record is from RNAcentral.
AACGAACGCUGGCGGCAUGCCUAAUACAUGCAAGUCGAACGAGAUCUUCGGAUCUAGUGGCGCACGGGUGCGUAACGCGUGGGAAUCUGCCCUUGGGUUCGGAAUAACUUCUGGAAACGGAAGCUAAUACCGGAUGAUGACGUAAGUCCAAAGAUUUAUCGCCCAAGGAUGAACCCGCGUAGGAUUAGGUAGUUGGUUAGGUAAAGGCUCACCAAGCCGACGAUCCUUAGCUGGUCUGAGAGGAUGAUCAGCCACACUGGGACUGAGACACGGCCCAGACUCCUACGGGAGGCAGCAGUAGGGAAUAUUGGAAAAUGGGCGAAAGCCUGAUCCAGCAAUGCCGCGUGAGUGAUGAAGGCCUUAGGGUUGUAAAGCUCUUUUACCCGGGAUGAUAAUGACAGUACCGGGAGAAUAAGCUCCGGCUAACUCCGUG